This 497-nucleotide ribosomal RNA is filed under the name uncultured bacterium. Its description in RNAcentral is "partial 16S ribosomal RNA". It matches the Rfam family "Bacterial small subunit ribosomal RNA", at positions 28 to 507 of the family's 1533-position model. The record is from RNAcentral.
GAUGAACGCUGGCGGCGUGCCUAAUACAUGCAAGUCGAGCGAACAGACGAGGAGCUUUCUCCUUCGACGUUAGCGUCGGACGGGUGAGUAACAUGUAGGUAACCCACCUAUAAGACGGGGAUAACUUCGGGAAACCGGAGCUAAUACCGGAUAAUAUUUCCAACAGCAUGGUUCGAUAGUGAAAGAUGGCUUUGCUAUCACUUAUAGAUGGACCUGCGCCGUAUUAGCUAGUUGGUAAGGUAACGGCUUACCAAGGCAACGAUCCGUAGCCGACCUGAGAGGGUGAUCGGCCACACUGGAACUGAGACACGGUCCAGACUCCUACGGGAGGCAGCAGUAGGGAAUAUUGCGCAAUGGGCGAAAGCCUGACGGAGCAACGCCGCGUGAGUGAUGAAGGCCUUCGGAUCGUAAAACUCUGUUAUUGGGGAGGAACGAACGUGUAAGUAACUGUGCACGGCUUGACGGUACCUGAUCAGAAAGCACCGGCUAACUACGUG